This 497-nucleotide ribosomal RNA is filed under the name uncultured bacterium. Its description in RNAcentral is "partial 16S ribosomal RNA". It matches the Rfam family "Bacterial small subunit ribosomal RNA", at positions 28 to 507 of the family's 1533-position model. The record is from RNAcentral.
GAUGAACGCUGGCGGCGUGCCUAAUACAUGCAAGUCGAGCGAACGGACGAGAAGCUUGUUCCUCUGAUGUUAGCGGCGGACGGGUGAGUAACACGUGGAUAACCUACCUAUAAGACUGGGAUAACUUCGGGAAACCGGAGCUAAUACCGGAUAAUAUUUUGAACCGCAUGGUUCAAAAGUGAAAGACGGUUUUGCUAUCACUUAUAGAUGGUUCCGCGCUGCAUUAGCUAGUUGGUAAGGUAACGGCUUACCAAGGCAACGAAGCUUAGCCGCCCUGGGGGGGGGAUCGGCCACACUGGAACUGAGACACGGUCCAGACUCCUACGGGAGGCAGCAGUAGGGAAUCUUCCGCAAUGGGCGAAAGCCUGACGGAGCAACGCCGCGUGAGUGAUGAAGGUCUUCGGAUCGUAAAACUCUGUUAUUAGGGAAGAACAUAUGUGUAAGUAACUGUGCACAUCUUGACGGUACCUAAUCAGAAAGCCACGGCUAACUACGUG